Molecule: long non-coding RNA, 2344 nt
Organism: Octopus bimaculoides (California two-spot octopus)
Lineage: Eukaryota; Metazoa; Mollusca; Cephalopoda; Octopoda; Octopodidae
Source: RefSeq, a predicted model, not a curated record
GAUUGACAUUGUUUUUGCUCAUUCUGAGGUCGAUAAAAUAGUGAAGUACUAAGGGUCUCUUAAUAUUCUCAUAUGGAAUUAUAACAGAAUACUAAGACAAACACAAAAAGUAAUUUUAUGAUUUACGAAACUACAGUUAGUUACCCCAGCCCCUAAUUAUUUGAAUGGUUUAAAAUAGACAUAAUUUUCCUCUCUGGUCAGUAUCUGUUCCUCAAAAUUACUAAAUUCAAUUAUAAUAUAUUUUUAGAACUAAUUAGUAGUUUUUCUUCUUAUUGCUGACAAGACUUAUUAGCUUUCUGGUAGUUUCGUAUCGUCAUUCUGCAACAACUGAAAUUUUCAUCUUCUGAUCUUUCUCAGCGUCAACAGAUUAACAAAACAGGUUCUUGUCGGUUUAACAUGUCUGGUCUUACUUUAAGAAGUGUUCACCUAUCUCAGUAAUCUACAUAUUAACGUCAAAAUGUCUACUGAAAUUUUGACGAUCCCUUGAAGAUAUGAUGGAGCGUAAGUCAAACAAAAACCCCACUGAAGGAAAGACUAAUUAAAAACUAUUUGAAUUUGUUUAGUUGUGUAUCUUGCUGUUAUCUCCAGUAACCAAUCCAGCACAUCUAAUCUUACUUUAAGAUUUAAAAUUGUGAAAUUUUGAAACUUCAGCUAAGCCUGGAAUGGAUUCUUCAAAGGAAAUUAAAAACUUCUGUGAAGUUUGUGGACUGAACUUGAGUGAAGCAAGUAGCCUUAAAAGACACAUAAGAACACACACAGGAGAGACUCCAUACCAUUGUUCAACAUGUGGGAAGAGCUUUUCACAGAACUACAGCCUUAAAAUACACAUGCGAACUCACACUGGUGAGAGACCAUUCCAGUGUGAUAUAUGUAAGAAAUCUUUCUCACAGAAUUACAGUUGCAAAAUUCACAAACGAAUACAUACAGGAGAGAGACCUUACCAGUGUCACUUUUGUGAAAAGAAAUUUUCUAAAAAAUCACAGUUAGACUCACAUAUUUUCAUGCACAUGAAAAAAGCUGUAUCUGAGUGUGAUUUGCCAGAAAGUCCAAAGACAGACACAUCAACAAAGCUGUCCAGCAAGACAAGUUCAAAAGACGAACAGUACUACUGCUUGAUAUGUGGGAGCGAGUUCUCAGAGAACAAAUCUUUACAAAUCCACAUGAAUUCUCAUGCAAAUAAAACAAAUUUAGAAGUAUGGGAAGAAAUUUUCUAGUAGAUCAAAAAAAGAAUUUGAGAAGUUCAUGGUGUCUGUGGAAAGUUAAAAAUAUAUUGAUGAGCAUACUAGGAAUUGGUCUAACACCAGUUAACAGAAAAAUAUUUAAGUAUGUCUAUGUCUUUUUUCAGAAAAGAUUAACCUGAGAUUAUGUUAUGAGAAGAUAAUAUAUGUGAAUUAUAUUAUGAGCACAUAUUAAGACGAGGUUAUGAAGAAAUCACUCCAACUUACUAUGUAGUUGUUCUAAGAUGAGAUAUCAGCCAAAGAGCAUCAACAGAGUUUCAGGAAAUGAACUACACAAGAGUCAUGUCCAUCUUUGAAUAAGGUGUCUUCUAGAUAACAUGUGACUUUUUAAUGUUAUUUUUUACUUUUGAAAAUAACAAAUAGAACUUUAAAAAGAAAGCAAACAUUUUUUUUUAAAAAAACCUGUCAAUGACUGAAAAAUUUUUAAUAUUCAUUAAUUUGAAACAGAAAUACAUAUCACAUGAAUAUUGAAUAUUGUUGAGAAAUAUAUAAAUUUUAUGAGAUUUGAAACUAUAAAUGAAGCCAUCACCUUUUAGGAGUCAUAGAGAAUUUUGAUGGUGACUAUUUUAUUGAUGAGGUUUGGUGGUUGUAUAUUUUGUAGCAGUGCACCACAAGAAGGAAAAUAAAUAUAUUCUGUAUAUCUGUGGUGGAGUGAAGAUUUCUGUGAAACAAUUGUUUUUAAAUUCAUAGGAAAUCUAGUAGAUUUGAUGACCUAAAUAUUUUAUCAGUGUGGCUGGUUCUUAUAUUUGCUUCUGGUAGCAUUUCUUAGAAUUCAUGACUCUGGUGCUUUAAUUAUGUUAUUUCUUGAGAAUCAUGGAAAUGGAUGGGACUGGAAAAUUUCAGAUUGAAAGCUUUAAUGUUGCUGGUUUAAUACCUCACUGUUCACUGUUGAAUUCCUACUCAGGUUGUUAAAAUAAGUGCCAGUAAUAUAUUGCAAUCAAUUUAAUUGACUAACCACAAAUGAAACAUUCGGCCUUGUGCCUUGUCGAAAGCAAUCAAUAUUAUUGUGUCCUAGCCAUGCUUGUAUGCAACAAUGUCAAAAGAGUAUGUACGCACUUCUGUGUAUGUACCUUUUUUCUGAUUUCAGUAAAUAUACUCCAAACUGA